Molecule: long non-coding RNA, 1054 nt
Organism: Acipenser ruthenus (sterlet)
Lineage: Eukaryota; Metazoa; Chordata; Actinopteri; Acipenseriformes; Acipenseridae
Exons: 2
Source: RefSeq, a predicted model, not a curated record
UUUACUAAUAAUUACGUUCAAGUGUUUAUAACGUUUUGGGAACUUAUCAGUAAAAGUGCUUAGAUUAUAUAUCAAUCACGUCACAGCAACUAAGCAAAAAUAAUAUCCAGGCCGGUGUUGUCAUCCGGGCAACCGCCUAGGGUCCCGACGCCAGAGGAGGACCCACACACACCUACAGAAAUAUGAGUACAUGUACUAUUUCUGUGCCAGCUAUACUAUUACAGCCUUUGCUUUAGGAUUAGAAACGUUUCGUUUUCACUCAACAAAACUAAACUUAAUGCGUGCAGUGCAGUGAAAAUGUUCAGAUCUCCCCCCUUUUUUUCUUUCUUGCCAUCUGUUCCUUUAGUUCCGUCUCUUCUCACUCCAUUGGCUUAAUUAAUAUUAAAGAUACGAUUUUAAACCGUCAAACAUGAAACCUGCCGAACCUCUGGAACCUCCAAAUAAAAAGAAACUAAGAUCUGGAUGCUACAGUGAAAAAGAAAAUAUGCUAAAAUCAUAUACAGCAGGUUUCGCUAGCUUACAAAGGACAGGACAUUAUUUGAAUAGUAAAUAUGCCCAGCGAAUCUCUCUAAAAUCAUUUGCCUAUGAAAGACAGGAUGUUUGCAUUAGCCAACAACCUAAAUGCAAUGCUCUCAUAUACACAAAUAAGACGAGUCAGAGUGAAUUCAAAACACAGUUGGAAGACAGAAUCAGUGAGACAAAGCUUACCCUAUUGUUUCUUUUCAAUAAUACCAUCACUGUAUUGUACUACAAUACAUCACUGUCAGGAACUGUCCAAGAUGAUCCAAAUGCAGUUUUAAUGUCCAAGAUAUACAAUAUAAAACAAUAAUGUUCAUAUAUAUCAAAGAAAUUUUAGCAUUCUUCAAGAUGAUCCUUCUACAGCUGCUAUUUUCAAUAACCCUCCUCUAAUCUCAUACAGAAGAGACAAAAAUCUAAGAGAGCAUCUGGUCCUCAGUAACAUUCAACCCAAUCUGGACAGUCUUAAGGGUACGUUUCCAUGCAAUAGGUCACGCUGUGCAACUUGCAAAUAUAUUCACAGCAACACAGUAGUUAA